UCAGGACGAACGCGGGCGGCGUGCCUAAUACAUGCAAGUCGUACGCUUCUUUUUCCACCGGAGCUUGCUCCACCGGAAAAAGAAGAGUGGCGAACGGGUGAGUAACACGUGGGUAACCUGCCCAUCAGAAGGGGAUAACACUUGGAAACAGGUGCUAAUACCGUAUAACAAUCGAAACCGCAUGGUUUUGAUUUGAAAGGCGCUUUCGGGUGUCGCUGAUGGAUGGACCCGCGGUGCAUUAGCUAGUUGGUGAGGUAACGGCUCACCAAGGCCACGAUGCAUAGCCGACCUGAGAGGGUGAUCGGCCACAUUGGGACUGAGACACGGCCCAAACUCCUACGGGAGGCAGCAGUAGGGAAUCUUCGGCAAUGGACGAAAGUCUGACCGAGCAACGCCGCGUGAGUGAAGAAGGUUUUCGGAUCGUAAAACUCUGUUGUUAGAGAAGAACAAGGAUGAGAGUAACUGUUCAUCCCUUGACGGUAUCUAACCAGAAAGCCACGGCUAACUACGUGCCAGCAGCCGCGGUAAUACGUAGGUGGCAAGCGUUGUCCGGAUUUAUUGGGCGUAAAGCGAGCGCAGGCGGUUUCUUAAGUCUGAUGUGAAAGCCCCCGGCUCAACCGGGGAGGGUCAUUGGAAACUGGGAGACUUGAGUGCAGAAGAGGAGAGUGGAAUUCCAUGUGUAGCGGUGAAAUGCGUAGAUAUAUGGAGGAACACCAGUGGCGAAGGCGGCUCUCUGGUCUGUAACUGACGCUGAGGCUCGAAAGCGUGGGGAGCAAACAGGAUUAGAUACCCUGGUAGUCCACGCCGUAAACGAUGAGUGCUAAGUGUUGGAGGGUUUCCGCCCUUCAGUGCUGCAGCUAACGCAUAAGCACUCCGCCUGGAUCGCCGCCCC
Molecule: ribosomal RNA, 892 nt
Filed under: Enterococcus sp.
Lineage: Bacteria; Bacillati; Bacillota; Bacilli; Lactobacillales; Enterococcaceae
Description: bacterial SSU rRNA
Rfam family: Bacterial small subunit ribosomal RNA
Source: RNAcentral